This 399-nucleotide long non-coding RNA is filed under the name Apteryx haastii (Great spotted kiwi). RNAcentral's name for it is "lncRNA (ENSAHAG00000004475.1)". Lineage: Eukaryota; Metazoa; Chordata; Aves; Apterygiformes; Apterygidae. The record is from RNAcentral.
GCGAGGGAGCAAACACAGGCAGCAGUUAGUUAGUUUGCAAGGCAGUGAACAGAUGCAGCGGUUUGCUUGUUGGUGAGGCAGCUAACAGAUUCAGCAGUCUCCUUGUUUGUGAGACAGUGAACAUCCACAGUGGUUACUCAUUCUGCGAGGUAGCGAAGAGAUGCAGCACUUUUUGCUUGUCCACCAGGUGGCAUAGUGGCAUCGCAGAUUGCUUUUUCUCCUGGAAGUGAAUGGAGGCAGCACUUUGCUAACUGGCGACGCAGUGAACACAUGCAGCAGUUUGCUUGUUCACAAGGUAGCAAACAGAUGCAGCGGCUUGUAUGUUCGCGAGGCGGUGAACAGAUAUAGCGGUUUGCUUGUUUGCGAGGCAGCAAACACAUUCAUCUGUCUGCUUGUUUG